RNAcentral lists this long non-coding RNA (1086 nucleotides) under Aquilegia coerulea. RNAcentral's name for it is "long non-coding RNA (ACOE_LNC001153)". The record is from RNAcentral. Lineage: Eukaryota; Viridiplantae; Streptophyta; Magnoliopsida; Ranunculales; Ranunculaceae.
ACAUGCAUAUCGUAACAUCUAAAUUCUUCACACAUAUAUUGUUGUCUAAAGAAGGGGGAAAAAUACAAAUAAAAGCGCAGUUAUCAGUUCACUAGUCAACUUUUAACAAGCAAGAAAAAACUAAAACAGAGUGCAGCAUGUCUCCUUGGCUGUAUUUUAAUCGCCAUUGAGCAUAAUUUACCUCCAGGAGUCCACAUGGAAGAUGCUUUGAAGUCAUUGUAAGAAAGGUGUUCAAAUUGCCUGCAAUCGCAAAAGAUAUACUUGAUCCAUAUCAAUUCAGCAAAAUCUAUAUCUAUAGUAGAGGUUUUCAAGUAAAAGACUCAAAGGAAGGUGGUGACGAUAACGUAAUAAAUGAGGUUUUUUAUUGAGGAAUUUAUUCAAACACUUGGUAGAGGCGGGAAAACAUCUCAGAGAAAAUAAGAAUUUUGUUUGUUUCACUGACAACAAAAUGCUUAAUAGAAAAUGAAAAUGGACUGAAACUUGAAUAGGGCUUGUGUUAGAAUGUCAAGAAACUCAAUGAAACAGAAUCUUAAGCAAUAUAAUUCAUGCCUAUAUAAACUCAAGGAGAUUAUAAGUUCAAGUGUGCCUAAACAUUAUUCAUCUAUAACAAAAGUUCCAGUGCUACAACUCUUGGUAUAGCUUGUAGAAAUGGCUUCAACAUGGCAAUCACUCCACUUUAUUGGCCUAAUUAUUUUGAGCCUCUGGGCAUGUCAAGCGAAUUCCCGUGCUCUGCAGGAGGUUUCCAUGCUGGAGAAAUAUGAACAAUGGAUGGCUCUCCAUGGGCGUGUUUACAAUGACGCAACAGAGAAGGAGAGGCGUUUUGAGAUAUUUAGGAAAAAUGUCGAACACAUUGAAUCUUUUAAUAGGGCUGGGAAUCGAUCCUACACUCUAGGUGUUAAUGGUUUUGCAGACCAAACAAAUGAAGAGUUUAUAGCAACUCGGAACGGAUACAAAGGGUUUUGCUCACCUCCGAAAUCUUCAGAUGCAUCAUCUUUCAGAUAUGAACAUGUCACUGCAGUGCCAUCUAGCGUGGACUGGAGAAAGAAAGGCGCUGUAACCCCUAUCAAGGAUCAAGGCCAAUGUGGU